This 465-nucleotide ribosomal RNA is filed under the name Joeropsis dubia. RNAcentral describes it as "partial 16S ribosomal RNA". It matches the Rfam family "Bacterial large subunit ribosomal RNA", at positions 1815 to 2598 of the family's 2925-position model. The record is from RNAcentral. Lineage: Eukaryota; Metazoa; Arthropoda; Malacostraca; Isopoda; Joeropsidae.
ACAUUUCCUUUUAAAUAAAAGGUCGUCCCUGCUCAGUGAGUUAAAUAGCCGCAGUAUCCUGACUGUGCUAAGGUAGCAAAAUAAUUUGUCUCUUUAUUAGAGGCUGGUAUAAAUGGGCUUAUAACAUCUCAAUUUUUGUUUUUAAGGCGAAGUUAUUAUUCAAUUAAAAAAAAUUGAAUUUUUGGGCAGACGACAAGACCCUAUAAAAUUUUACUUUUUUAAGGCCGAAAGGACAGGCAAUUUAAACAGAGUUAAACUGGGGCGGUAAUUAGGGCACACUAAUAAAGUUAACUUUUGAUAUAAAGGAGCUUUUGACCAAGUUGAAAAAUUACUUUAGGGGUAACAGCGUAAUGCCCUUUAAGAGACCUGAUUCUCAAGGGAGACUUACGACCUCGAUGUUGAAUUGAGGGGCCGCACUAAUGUAAAAGGUAGUGAGAGGAAGUCUGUUCGACUUUUAAACCUUCA